AAAAUAUAAUUUUACUUUUUUUAUUUUAUUUUUGUGUGUUGAAAAUAUUCUUUUUUUGAGUAUAUUAUUUGAAAUAAAUAUUAUUUAGUGAUAAAUUAUUAGUACUGUGAAGGGUUAUUGAAAUAUUUUUAUAAAUUAAUUUUAUAAAAAGUAUAUUUUUUAUAGUACCUUUUGUAUCAGGGUUGAUUUAUUUAAUAAAAUUUAUUUUUGUUUCUCGAUUUUAUAAGAUCUAAUAAAUUAUGUUAUUUAAUGUUUUAUAAUUAUUAAAAAUAAUUUAUUAGUUGAGAAAUUCUAUUCGUUUAUAAUGGUAUCUGGUUUUUUAAGAAAUAAAUUUAAUUUAUUAUUAAAAAUUUAAUUUUCUUACUAGUAAGAAAAUUAUUAUUUAAUAUAAAAAUAGUGGGGGAUAAGCUCCACUUUUUGCUAAAAUUUCAUUCAUUUUUGUUUAUAGUAGGAUUAUAAUCUUCCAUCUUUAUAUUACGUUAUAGUAUAAAACUUGUUUUGUUGAUUUUUUAAUAUUUAGUAUAUUAUUAAAAUUUUUAAUUUAAUGUUUUAUUUGAAUUAAUUAUGAUUAAAUUAGUAUAUAUUUAUAAGUUUGUUUAUUUAUAUUUUGUAUUUAUAUAUAAGGAACUCGGCAAAAUUUAUUGUGUUCGCCUGUUUAUCAAAAACAUGUCCUCUUGUAUUUAUAUGAGGUCUGACCUGCCCAGUGAAUAUUUAACGGCCGCGGUAUUUUGACCGUGCAAAGGUAGCAUAAUCAUUAGCCUUUUAAUAGAAGGCUGGAAUGAAAGGUUCAACGAAUCAUUAGCUGUCUCAUUUAUAUAUUUUAAAAUUUAAUUUUUAAGUUAAAAAGCUUAAAUUAUAUUGUAGGACGAGAAGACCCUAUAGAGCUUUACAUUUUAUUUUGUAAUAUUUUUUUGAUAUAUAAAUUUAUAUUUAAAUUUUAAUGUUUUGUUGGGGUGAUAAAAUUAUAUAAUAAACUUUUUUAUUUUAAAAACAAAUAUUUUUGAUUACUUGAUCCAUUAUUAUUGAUUAAUAGAUUAAGUUACCUUAGGGAUAACAGCGUAAUCUUCUUUUGGAGUUCAAAUUUACAAGAAGGCUUGCGACCUCGAUGUUGGAUUAAGAUAAUAAUUUGGUGUAGUAGUUAAAUUAAUAGGUCUGUUCGACCUUUAAAAUCUUACAUGAUCUGAGUUCAGACCGGCUUGAGCCAGGUCGGUUUCUAUCCUCAAUUUUAUUUUAAUUUCUAGUACGAAAGGACCGUUAUUAAAAAAUAAUUUUUAUUUUUUGAUUAUUAUUAA
Molecule: ribosomal RNA, 1292 nt
Filed under: Coeliccia cyanomelas
Lineage: Eukaryota; Metazoa; Arthropoda; Insecta; Odonata; Platycnemididae
Description: 16S ribosomal RNA
Rfam family: Archaeal large subunit ribosomal RNA (bases 605-1292)
Source: RNAcentral